Molecule: ribosomal RNA, 407 nt
Filed under: uncultured bacterium
Lineage: Bacteria
Description: partial 16S ribosomal RNA
Rfam family: Bacterial small subunit ribosomal RNA
Source: RNAcentral
UGAGGAAUAUUGGUCAAUGGGCGAGAGCCUGAACCAGCCAAAUCGCGUGAAGGAAGACUGCCUUAUGGGUUGUAAACUUCUUUUAUACAGGAAUAAAAAACGGGGACGUGUCCCUUAUUGCAUGUACUGUAUGAAUAAGCAUCGGCUAACUCCGUGCCAGCAGCCGCGGUAAUACGGAGGAUGCGAGCGUUAUCCGGAUUUAUUGGGUUUAAAGGGUGCGCAGGCGGGCUUUUAAGUCAGCGGUGAAAUCUCGGGGCUUAACUCCGAAACUGCCGUUGAAACUGGGAGUCUUGAGUAUGGAUGAAGUAGGCGGAAUUCGUUGUGUAGCGGUGACAUGCUUAGAUAUAACGAGGAACUCCGAUUGCGUAGGCAGCUUACUAAGCCAUAACUGACGCUCAAGCACGAAA